UACGAAGGGGGCUAGCGUUGCUCGGAAUUACUGGGCGUAAAGCGCGUGUAGGCGGCCCGGUAAGUCCGCUGUGAAAGUCCAGGGCUCAACCCUGGGAUGCCGGUGGAUACUGUCGGGCUCGAGUCCGGAAGAGGCGAGUGGAAUUCCUGGUGUAGCGGUGAAAUGCGCAGAUAUCAGGAGGAACACCGAUGGCGAAGGCAGCUCGCUGGGACGGUACUGACGCUGAGGCGCGAAAGCGUGGGGAGCGAACAGG
RNAcentral lists this ribosomal RNA (253 nucleotides) under uncultured bacterium. RNAcentral describes it as "partial 16S ribosomal RNA". It matches the Rfam family "Bacterial small subunit ribosomal RNA", at positions 524 to 776 of the family's 1533-position model. The record is from RNAcentral.